UAAGCCUUUCCCUCUUAUGACUCUUAUUCUGCCUCCUCUCACCCCCAAGGAAAUUCGUUUCUAGACCCAACCCGUCCAAAUCCCUCAACCUCACGCUGGCAAAAGCCAUCGGCAGAGGUGUCGAUUGCAGAUCAGCCGUCGUCAAUUCCAAGAGCCACUCUCCAAUUCCUCGACAUUUCCUUCUCCACCGCCGAUAAACAAUAACCAGCUCGUCUUCGUCGACGAUGAGAAUAUGCCCUUGGAAGGUGCCAUUCAGUUCGACAAGCCCAGCUCCUCUGCUCGAAUCAGAAAAUAAGGGUCCGCUACUUGCAAUUAGUCCCAUACUCGUAUUACUUGUGUAAGGACUGUGACUGCAGAACUCUUGAUCAUAGUUCCACACUAAUUGUUACAGGGGUUUGAAUCUCUAAGCAGAUCUAUCUCUCCAACUCUCAAUUCCUCUCUAGUCAGGUUUGUCAAGAUGUUUACUUCAAGGAAGAAGAUUCAUAAGGAUAAGGAUGCUGAGCCAACUGAGUUUGAAGAGUCGAUUGCAUAACUAAGCUAUAUUGCUUUCCUUAGCAUUGGAUGCUGGACCUGUGAUAGCCAGUGAAAGAUUGGAAAUUGAUGAUCAAACUAAUGAUCCAAACUAUUUAUUCACUGGAUUCCUUCCAUAUUUGAUGGUUCAGCUAAAUUAAAAUUAUGCUGGAGCUUAAAAUUAUCACAACCAAAGUUCGCAGCCAUAACACUAUUCAGGUCAACCAAGCAGAUUACAUUUUUUUUCGAAAGGGUGCAUUAGUAUUCCCCUGUGGAGGUCCACAUCACUUGAGGUGCUACUGCAUUUGACAAAAAUAUGAUACUGUCUAGUUUACUGCUGGGAUAGGAUCAUGACAUACAGUCGUGCCUUCUGUUGUUUUCUGAACCAUUUCUACUGCUGGGAUAGGACCAAAUGACACAGCUUGCAUCAGUCCACGCACAAUACAGUAGACUUGUGAUACCAACCCCAGCCAUCAAUGAUGGGUAUCGACCCGAAAUGCCUCAAACUGUUCCAGAUUCGCUGCUGAACUGAAAGGGUUGGUUUCACUUACCAUUAGCUGGUUUGAUGGUUAUGUUUUUGUCUACUUUGAGUUAGUCCUCAAAGCAUUUUGAUGGAAAUUAUUCUUGGACAAGGAUUAUGUUGUUAAAGGGGGGAAAUCUUAGUGAUAUUCCACCUUCAAUAACAAUGUAUUCUAGAAAGCAGCCUUGUUUUUUGUAAUCCAAGAAUUUACUUUGGUAUGAAAUGUAUUUUGCUAGG
Molecule: long non-coding RNA, 1267 nt
Filed under: Rosa chinensis
Lineage: Eukaryota; Viridiplantae; Streptophyta; Magnoliopsida; Rosales; Rosaceae
Description: sRNA RchiOBHm_Chr1g0314201
Source: RNAcentral